Molecule: ribosomal RNA, 429 nt
Filed under: Acidobacteriota bacterium
Lineage: Bacteria; Pseudomonadati; Acidobacteriota
Description: Acidobacteria bacterium partial 16S ribosomal RNA
Rfam family: Bacterial small subunit ribosomal RNA
Source: RNAcentral
UGGGGAAUUUUGGACAAUGGGGGAAACCCUGAUCCAGCCAUCCCGCGUGUGCGAUGAAGGCCUUCGGGUUGUAAAGCACUUUUGGCAGGAAAGAAACGUCAUGGGCUAAUACCCCGUGAAACUGACGGUACCUGCAGAAUAAGCACCGGCUAACUACGUGCCAGCAGCCGCGGUAAUACGUAGGGUGCAAGCGUUAAUCGGAAUUACUGGGCGUAAAGCGUGCGCAGGCGGUUCGGAAAGAAAGAUGUGAAAUCCCAGAGCUCAACUUGGGAACUGCAUUUUUGACUACCGGGCUAGAGUGUGUCAGAGGGAGGUGGAAUUCCGCGUGUAGCAGUGAAAUGCGUAGAUAUGCGGAGGAACACCGAUGGCGAAGGCAGCCUCCUGGGAUAACACUGACGCUCAUGCACGAAAGCGUGGGGAGCAAACAGG